RNAcentral lists this ribosomal RNA (497 nucleotides) under uncultured bacterium. Its description in RNAcentral is "partial 16S ribosomal RNA". It matches the Rfam family "Bacterial small subunit ribosomal RNA", at positions 28 to 507 of the family's 1533-position model. The record is from RNAcentral.
GAUGAACGCUGGCGGCGUGCUUAAUACAUGCAAGUCGAGCGCAAGGACGCGAAGCUUGCUUCUCUGAUGUUAGCAGCGGCCGGGUGAGUAACACGUGGAUCACCUACCUAACAGUCUGGUAUAACUUCGUGAAACCGUAUCUAAUCCCGGAUAAUAUUUUGAACCGCAUGGUUCAAAAGUGAAAUACGGUCUUGCUGUCACUUAUAGAUGUAUCCGCGCUGCAUUAUCUAGUUGGUAAGUUAUCGGCUUACCAAGGCAACGAUGCAUAGCCGACCUGAGAGGGGGAUAGGCCACACUGGAACAGGAACAGGGUCCAGACUCCUACGGGAGGCAGCAGUAGGGAAUCGUGCGAAAUGGGCGAAAGCCUGACGGAGCGAGGCAGCGUGAGUGAUAAAGGUCUUCGGAGCGUAAAGCUGUGUUAUGAGUGAAGAACAGAUGUGUAAGUAGCUGUACACAUCGUGACGGUACCUAGUAAGAAAGCCACGGCUAACUACGUG